This 1332-nucleotide long non-coding RNA is filed under the name Mus musculus (house mouse). RNAcentral's name for it is "long non-coding RNA chr18:82902804-82904136". The record is from RNAcentral. Lineage: Eukaryota; Metazoa; Chordata; Mammalia; Rodentia; Muridae.
GUGUGUGUGUGUGUGUGCCUGCGCGCGCACAUCUGUGCUUAGGGACACAAGCCUAGGUCUGUACCAACAGUAUUCUAUAAAAAUAGGCAAAACAAAAAAAACGUCACCAGGGAAAACAGGAAUGAUUUCAAAAGCGAUUCACGUUGGCAGAGCAUUAUUGCAAUCUAAGAGAGUACUCUUAGGCUUCCAGGUAUUUUCAGACAUCUUUCAUUAUAAUGCAGUUUAAUAAUAUCGACUUCAUCAGCAACUACUUGGGGAGGGAUCUAUGCUCUUAAAAACCGACCUGUCUCCAUGCUGACAUACCCUGAAAACAACCGGAACUGAUUUUCACAUUUGCUUUCCUUUUAUUUCAAAUGAUAUAAUUUUCAGGACACUGAAUGACUCAGCAAGUAAUGGUGCUUGCCACUAUGCCUGAAGACCUGAGUCUGAGCGACCCCACCCCCAGUUGUGUUCUGACCCCCCUCACUUGAGCUACCUCUGGAAAGCACACUACUCCUUCUUCAAAUAUGAAUGGGUAAGUGCAAUAAAAAUUUUAAUUGGCAAAUAUUAAUUGUGCAGGGGCUGGGGCUUCAUAAGGACACUUUUAUACAAGCAUAUAAGGUACUUGAGCAUAUGCCCCACCCCCUCCCUGACACUCCCUCCCCCUCCUCUCAGUUCCCUUUGUUCUGCUAGACAGUUACAUUUCUUGUUCAUAGUGAGUCCCACUUUUUACAUAGUCAGUAUACAUUUUUGCUAAAUUGUAAGUCGAUUAUUUUGCCUCUACACAAUCAUGAGAAAAAAAAAAAGUAGGAGUCUUCCACUUCGGUAAGAGCCCUGGGCAUUCAGCCCACAGAGUUUUGGUUCAUAGGCAGUGUGCAUCUUGUAAAAAAUGUGCUUCCAUCUUGGCUUUGCACACUAGCUAGAAGCGCAGAGGAAAUUUCCAUUAUCUGUAACCAGCCGGCCUGUCUUGUGCUAACCCUGGCUGAGUCCAUACCUUACCCCUGUUUCAUUCACUUUCUCUAAUUAUUUCUUGUCCUGAUUUCUUUCUGGGUAUAUAUAUAUAUGUUUUGUUCAUUUAAAAUUCGAGACAGGUUCUUACUAGGUAGCCCAGGCUGCUGUAAGCUCGCCAUCCUCCUGCCUCAGCACUCUGAGUGCUGGGAUUACAGUUGUGUGUCCCCACGCCUCGUUGUACACAGUACAACAGGGGUUGUUCCUUGUACAACAGGAGUGCAAAGGGAUGAUAAAGUGAAAAAGAUGGCAGCUCACGUGGGUGACAUACCUGGGGUAUGGAUGGGAUUCAGAAAAGACAUCACAGAAUUUUUGUAAGUACAGAUGACUAAUAAAUAAAUAAAU